Bradyrhizobiaceae bacterium SG-6C is the source of this 82-nucleotide non-coding RNA. Lineage: Bacteria; Pseudomonadati; Pseudomonadota; Alphaproteobacteria; Hyphomicrobiales; Nitrobacteraceae. The record is from Rfam.
GCGCUCGUGGCGGAAUUGGUAGACGCGCUGCCUUGAGGUGGCAGUCCGUAACAGGGUGGGGGUUCGAGUCCCUCCGAGCGCA